GGAAGGUUGGCAGAGUGGUCAAUUGCACUGGUUUCGAAAACCAGGACGCUUCGGCGUCUCGGGGGUUCAAAUCCCUCACCUUCCG
This 85-nucleotide transfer RNA is filed under the name Candidatus Woesebacteria bacterium. Its description in RNAcentral is "tRNA-Ser". It matches the Rfam family "tRNA". Rfam says of the family: Transfer RNA (tRNA) molecules are approximately 80 nucleotides in length. Lineage: Bacteria; Candidatus Woeseibacteriota. The record is from RNAcentral.